UGGGGAAUAUUGGACAAUGGGCGAAAGCCUGAUCCAGCCAUGCCGCGUGAGUGAUGAAGGCCCUAGGGUUGUAAAGCUCUUUUACCUGGGAAGAUAAUGACUGUACCAGGAGAAUAAGCCCCGGCUAACUUCGUGCCAGCAGCCGCGGUAAUACGAAGGGGGCUAGCGUUGUUCGGAAUCACUGGGCGUAAAGCGCACGUAGGCGGAUUUUUAAGUCAGGGGUGAAAUCCCGGGGCUCAACCUCGGAACUGCCUUUGAUACUGGAGUUCUUGAGUCCGGGAGAUGUGAGUGGACCUGCGAGUGUAGAGGUGAAAGUCGUAGAUACUGGUAGGAACACCCAGUGCGAAGGCAGCUCGCUGGACAACACGUUACGCUGAGGCGCGAAAGUGCGG
This 392-nucleotide ribosomal RNA is filed under the name uncultured bacterium. RNAcentral describes it as "bacterial SSU rRNA". It matches the Rfam family "Bacterial small subunit ribosomal RNA", at positions 355 to 764 of the family's 1533-position model. The record is from RNAcentral.